GGGAGAGUAGCCCAGUGGAUAGAGCAACUGCCUUCUAAGCAGUAGGUCGCGGGUUCGAAUCCCGCCUCUCCCGCCA
This 76-nucleotide transfer RNA is filed under the name Puniceicoccales bacterium. Its description in RNAcentral is "tRNA-Arg". It matches the Rfam family "tRNA". Rfam says of the family: Transfer RNA (tRNA) molecules are approximately 80 nucleotides in length. Their secondary structure includes four short double-helical elements and three loops (D, anti-codon, and T loops). The record is from RNAcentral. Lineage: Bacteria; Pseudomonadati; Verrucomicrobiota; Opitutia; Puniceicoccales.